CUACGGGGCGCUGCAGUGGGGAAUAUUGCACAAUGGAGGAAACUCUGAUGCAGCAACGCCGCGUGGAGGAUGACACUUUUCGGAGCGUAAACUCCUUUUAUAUAGGAAGAGGAUGACGGUACUAUAUGAAUAAGCGCCGGCUAACUCCGUGCCAGCAGCCGCGGUAAUACGGAGGGCGCAAGCGUUACUCGGAAUCACUGGGCGUAAAGAGCGUGUAGGCGGAUUAAAAAGUCAGAAGUGAAAUCCUAUAGCUUAACUAUAGAACUGCUUCUGAAACUCUUAAUCUAGAAUGUGGGAGAGGUAGAUGGAAUUUCUGGUGUAGGGGUAAUAUCCGUAGAGAUCAGAAGGAAUACCGAUUGCGAAGGCGAUCUACUAGAACAUUAUUGACGCUGAGACGCGAAAGCGUGGGGAGCAAACAGGAUUAGAUACCCCUGUAGUC
Molecule: ribosomal RNA, 439 nt
Filed under: uncultured bacterium
Lineage: Bacteria
Description: partial 16S ribosomal RNA
Rfam family: Bacterial small subunit ribosomal RNA
Source: RNAcentral